GUCAAAUACUUCUGUCAAAACACCAGGCUCAAAUUUAACUGUUUGCAUCCUUCUUUGCAGGGUUCUAAUUCCUGGCAGGGGAAUCUGCAUGUCCCGCAAGGCCUUGUAUCCUGUGGAACCUGCAGCAAAUCGAAGUUUUAAUGCCUUCUUCAGUGUAUCGUUGCUCCAUUUCAUCCCUUUUGUGGAGCUGUGAAUCUGUGGUUAGUGGUUCCCUGUUGUGCUGACUGACUGAUGUGGGCUCUCCCUGUCUCUCCUCAUCUGCCAUGUUGACUCUUUCUACUGUCUCACUUUCCCUUCUCUCAGUCUCCUCAGUCUUGGAAACUGUUUAGCUGUGAUCAGCAGCUAUGGACCAUGCAUUUGCAGGUGAAAGAGGGCAUCGUGGAGUUGGGGCCUUCCUCUUUUUUUUCAUAGAGUGAUGCGCAAAGAUGUCCCUGAUGGUGGUCAAAUGUAUCCUGCUGACUUUGGC
Molecule: long non-coding RNA, 466 nt
Organism: Melanotaenia boesemani (Boeseman's rainbowfish)
Lineage: Eukaryota; Metazoa; Chordata; Actinopteri; Atheriniformes; Melanotaeniidae
Exons: 4
Source: RefSeq, a predicted model, not a curated record